RNAcentral lists this small nucleolar RNA (100 nucleotides) under Mus pahari (shrew mouse). Its description in RNAcentral is "snoRNA (MGP_PahariEiJ_G0034555.1)". It matches the Rfam family "Small nucleolar RNA SNORA17", at positions 1 to 101 of the family's 132-position model. From Rfam's summary of the family: snoRNA ACA 17 belongs to the H/ACA family of snoRNAs and is predicted to guide pseudouridylation of the 28S rRNA at positions U4659 and U4598. It shares the same host gene together with ACA43. NB This family has a high threshold value to exclude a large number of closely related sequences that do not appear to have conserved H and ACA boxes, and may be pseudogenes. Lineage: Eukaryota; Metazoa; Chordata; Mammalia; Rodentia; Muridae. The record is from RNAcentral.
UCUACCCCAAAAGGCUUUACAUGUGUAGCUGCUAUGUCAGUGUGCAUCAAUAGGUGACAGAGAGGAGAGAGACUGUGUCUAUGCUCAGUGUCCUGACCUA